Long non-coding RNA from Pogoniulus pusillus (Red-fronted tinkerbird), 1582 nucleotides. RefSeq lists it as uncharacterized. Lineage: Eukaryota; Metazoa; Chordata; Aves; Piciformes; Lybiidae. The transcript is spliced from 3 exons. The record is from RefSeq and is a predicted model, not a curated record.
GUUGAAAGCACAACGCUCUGUGCAAAAUGGGCAAGAAAACACGACCCACCUGACAGUUCUUCCCAGUGUAACCCAGGGGACAGAUACAGCGGUACGUGCCCAGGCUGUCCACGCAAGAGCCUUUGUUCAAGCAAGGACGGGAAUCACACUCGUUAAUUUCUGUGAGGCAGAAGGGUCCAGUAAAUCCCACGGGACACUGGCAAGUAAAGGAAUUGAUCCCAUCCACACAAGUACCUCCGUUGAAACAGGAGCUGCACCAGAGGGAGAACAAAGACACUGCUCAACAGAUGAAUUUGUGUGCUUAACUUGAAGCAUGAAAACACUGCAGUCAAACCAAAUGUCUAUAUUUAAGGCUCACAUUCUUCUGCUGGAAACUGCCUCUGAAGACAGAUUUUUUUCUACUCUGCAUUCCCCAGACCAAAAGCCUACAUAUAUAAAGGCAGGGAGGGAGAAGGAAAAGGAGAGACAGAAGGAUGAAAAAGGUUACAAAAGCAGAGGGUGUUUUUUUUAUCUUUGAGUAUCUUAAAGCACUACUAAAACACAAACUUGAAAACAAAAAUAGACUCUGCCAGAACUCUGCAGUUCAACUCAAGUACAAGAUCAUUCUGUUCACUGGUGAAUGAAGAAACCAGAUGUGAAAGGUAAUUAAAGCUCAUCUAUUGACUGAGAAAUAUGCUCACAUGACAAAAAUGUGUGUUCUAAGAGACACACACCUGCAUGCAUUUAAAGGUCAUCUGACUGCUGCAGAGAAAAAAGCACAUUCCAAGCAAGACCCGGGCAGCUCUGAAAUGUUGUGUCUGUGGCAGCCAGCCAGUUAUGACUCAAGCCAAAAGGUCUGCAUUAAUUUUUCUGGGCCACACAUUUGCUGACAGAAAAAGGAGACUGAGUAUCAACUUUUCAAUAAGUUCUUGUUGUUGGAGGGUUUGUUUGCUUCACAGAUUAAAGACACUUGGCUCAAACCAUGGAAGGUUUCUGUUAGGCUAAAAUGAAGUCAGCUGCAGCAGUAAUCUGAAAUUCUUCUUCAUCCUCAUGGGUGUGCUGCCUAAGGGACAACAGGGGAUGAAUCUCACAGCUCUGAGAACACUUAGGGAUAGAGAGAGAUGUUCCAGUUGUUUAGGAGCACUUACAAAUGUGUUUUUAUCCAAAUAUCCACCUAAAAACUAAUGGGGCAGCAAUCAUUUUGUUGGCUUCAACCAGCAAAGCUCUGGGUUGAUGCACUGUGGCACUUCUUGCACUGUACCUGCUUGCUCAGAAAAAGGCAACCAAAGGCUCAGGCUGAGUCAGAAGUUCUUUCAGCAGCGCUGCUUUGGCUGUCCCACAGGAACUUGUUUUGUUUGGAUCCUUCUCUACAGCAGUCUCAAGUGUAAUUUUUUUUUUCAAGGCAUAACUCCCUAAAUUCAUGUCUAAAGUGGGUAAGACUUUGGUUUGUUGUUAAGCUAUUCUAACUAAAACAUAGAGGUUUGUUGGUUUUGUUGUCUCUUUUUAAGAGCUGGUAAGUGAUAAAAAAAAAACCAACUACAACAUUGUGAACUCCUCCAAGGUUUGAUAAAGCACUUUUAGGCUAGUAACAGAUGAACUCUUC